RNAcentral lists this ribosomal RNA (459 nucleotides) under uncultured Acidobacteriota bacterium. Its description in RNAcentral is "bacterial SSU rRNA". It matches the Rfam family "Bacterial small subunit ribosomal RNA", at positions 341 to 792 of the family's 1533-position model. The record is from RNAcentral. Lineage: Bacteria; Pseudomonadati; Acidobacteriota.
ACGGGAGGCAGCAGUGGGGAAUAUUGGACAAUGGGCGCAAGCCUGAUCCAGCAACGCCGCGUGGAGGAUGAAGGUCUUCGGAUCGUAAACUCCUGUCAGACGGGACGAAGGUCUGCGGGUGAACAACUCGCAGGCUUGACGGUACUGUCAGAGGAAGCCCCGGCUAACUCCGUGCCAGCAGCCGCGGUAAUACGGAGGGGGCGAGCGUUAUUCGGAAUUAUUGGGCGUAAAGGGCGCGUAGGCGGUUCGAUAAGUCAAAGGUGAAAUCCCUCGGCUCAACUGAGGAACUGCCUUUGAAACUGUCGAGCUUGAGUCCGGGAGGGGGUAGCGGAAUUCCCAGUGUAGCGGUGAAAUGCGUAGAUAUUGGGAGGAACACCGGUGGCGAAGGCGGCUACCUGGACCGGAACUGACGCUGAUGCGCGAAAGCGUGGGUAGCAAACAGGAUUAGAUACCCUGGUA